AGCUGGGACUACAGGCGCCCGCCACCACGCCCGGCUAAUGUUUUGUAUUUUUUAGUAGAGACGGGGUUUCACCGUUUUCGCCAGCAUCGUCUUGAUCCCCGACCUCGUGAUCCGCCCACCUCGGCCUCCCAAAGUGCUGGAGUUACAGGCGUGAGCCAACGAGCGCGGCCAGAUGAUUACCUAGGAACAGUACGAUUUGGGGUUAUCACAAAUAAACAUCUUGCGAAACUGGUAUCCUUAGUACACUCUGGAAGUGUGUAUUUACAUAGACAUUUCAACACAUCACUUGUCUUCCCCAGGGAGGUCCUGAACUACACAGCUGAGAACAUCUGUAAGUGGGCCUUAGAAAACCAGGAGACGCUCUUUCGGUGGCUGCGGCCACACGGAGGCAAGAGUCUCCUGCUGAAUAACGAGCUGAAGAAAGGACCAGCGCUGUUUCUGUUCAUACCUUUUAAUCCCCUGGCCGAAAGUCAUCCUUUA
RNAcentral lists this long non-coding RNA (480 nucleotides) under Homo sapiens (human). RNAcentral describes it as "HSALNT0227751". The record is from RNAcentral. Lineage: Eukaryota; Metazoa; Chordata; Mammalia; Primates; Hominidae.